This 468-nucleotide ribosomal RNA is filed under the name uncultured bacterium. RNAcentral's name for it is "partial 16S ribosomal RNA". It matches the Rfam family "Bacterial small subunit ribosomal RNA", at positions 28 to 507 of the family's 1533-position model. The record is from RNAcentral.
GACGAACGCUGGCGGCGUGCUUAACACAUGCAAGUCGAACGGAAAGUCCCUGCUUUUGUGGGGUGCUCGAGUUGCGAACGGGUGAGUAACACGUGAGUAACCUGCCCUUGACUUUGGGAUAACUUCAGGAAACUGGGGCUAAUACCGGAUAGGAGCUCCUGCUGCAUGGUGGGGGUUGGAAAGUUUCGGCGGUUGGGGAUGGACUCGCGGCUUAUCAGCUUGUUGGUGGGGUAGUGGCUUACCAAGGCUUUGACGGGUAGCCGGCCUGAGAGGGUGACCGGCCACAUUGGGACUGGGAUACGGCCCAGACUCCACUGGGAGGCAGCAGUGGGGAAUAUUGCACAAUGGGCGGAAGCCUGAUGCAGCAACGCCGCGUGCGGGAUGACGGCCUUCGGGUUGUAAACCGCUUUCGCCUGUGACGAAGCGUGAGUGACGGUAAUGGGUAAAGAAGCACCGGCUAACUACGUG